GAUGAACGCUGGCGGCGUGCCUAAUACAUGCAAGUCGAGCGAACAGACGAGGAGCUUGCUCCUCUGACGUUAGCGGCGGACGGGUGAGUAACACGUGGAUAACCUACCUAUAAGACUGGGAUAACUUCGGGAAACCGGAGCUAAUACCGGAUAAUAUAUUGAACCGCAUGGUUCAAUAGUGAAAGACGGUUUUGCUGUCACUUAUAGAUGGAUCCGCGCCGCAUUAGCUAGUUGGUAAGGUAACGGCUUACCAAGGCGACGAUGCGUAGCCGACCUGAGAGGGUGAUCGGCCACACUGGAACUGAGACACGGUCCAGACUCCUACGGGAGGCAGCAGUAGGGAAUCUUCCGCAAUGGGCGAAAGCCUGACGGAGCAACGCCGCGUGAGUGAUGAAGGUCUUCGGAUCGUAAAACUCUGUUAUUAGGGAAGAACAAAUGUGUAAGUAACUAUGCACGUCUUGACGGUACCUAAUCAGAAAGCCACGGCUAACGACGUG
This 497-nucleotide ribosomal RNA is filed under the name uncultured bacterium. RNAcentral's name for it is "partial 16S ribosomal RNA". It matches the Rfam family "Bacterial small subunit ribosomal RNA", at positions 28 to 507 of the family's 1533-position model. The record is from RNAcentral.